CCUACGGGAGGCAGCAGUGAGGAAUAUUGGUCAAUGGCCGGAAGGCUGAACCAGCCAAGCCGCGUGAAGGACGAAGGUGCCAAGCAUUGUAAACUUCUUUUGUCAAGGGACAAAAUCAGGCUCGAGAGCCUGACCGAGGGUACUUGAAGAAAAAGCAUCGGCUAACACCGUGCCAGCAGCCGCGGUAAUACGGAGGAUGCGAGCGUUAUCCGGAUUUAUGGGGUUAAAGGGGUGCGUAGGGGGACUGUUAAGUCAGCGGUAAAAGCCCGGGGCGCAACCCCGGCGAGCCGUUGAAACUGGGUGUCUUGAGAUGUCGAGAGGUAGGCGGAAUGCGCAGUGUAGCGGUGAAAUGCUUAGAUAUUGCGCAGAACUCCGAUUGCGAAGGCAGCAUACCGGCGGCGAUCUGACGCUGAGGCACGAAAGCGUGGGUAUCGAACAGGAUUAGAUACCCUUGUAGUC
RNAcentral lists this ribosomal RNA (459 nucleotides) under uncultured bacterium. RNAcentral describes it as "partial 16S ribosomal RNA". It matches the Rfam family "Bacterial small subunit ribosomal RNA", at positions 338 to 795 of the family's 1533-position model. The record is from RNAcentral.